This 377-nucleotide ribosomal RNA is filed under the name uncultured eukaryote. Its description in RNAcentral is "partial 18S ribosomal RNA". It matches the Rfam family "Eukaryotic small subunit ribosomal RNA", at positions 592 to 975 of the family's 1831-position model. The record is from RNAcentral.
CAAUAGCGUAUAUUAAAGUUGUUGCAGUUAAAAAGCUCGUAGUUGGAUUUGUGGUUCGUCCCGCCGGCUGGGUCAUUGACUUUUGCUGUGCUGGUCGUCCAUCCUUGGGUGGAAUCUGUGUGGCAUUAGGUUGUCGCGCAGGGGAUGCCCAUCGUUUACUGUGAAAAAAUUAGAGUGUUCAAAGCAGGCUUAUGCCGUUGAAUAUAUUAGCAUGGAAUAAUGAUAUAGGACCUUGGUACUAUUUUGUUGGUUUGCGCAUCGAGGUAAUGAUUAACAGGGACAGUUGGGGGUAUUCGUAUUCCAUUGUCAGAGGUGAAAUUCUCGGAUUUCUGGAAGACGACCUACUGCGAAAGCAUUUACCAAGGAUGUUUUCAUUA